GCCGGGCGUGGUGGCGCAUGCCUGUAAUCCCAGCUACUCGGGAGGCUGAGGCAGGAGAAUCGCUUGAACCCGGGAGGCUGAGGUUGCAGUGAGCCGAGAUCGCGCCACUGCAUUCCAGCCAGGGCAACAAGAGCGAAACUCCGUCUCAA
RNAcentral lists this small RNA (149 nucleotides) under Macaca mulatta (Rhesus monkey). Its description in RNAcentral is "Metazoan signal recognition particle RNA (ENSMMUG00000060410.1)". The record is from Rfam by way of RNAcentral. Lineage: Eukaryota; Metazoa; Chordata; Mammalia; Primates; Cercopithecidae.